Schistosoma mattheei is the source of this 78-nucleotide non-coding RNA. The record is from Rfam. NCBI's taxonomy places the organism in Eukaryota, Metazoa, Platyhelminthes, Trematoda, Strigeidida, Schistosomatidae.
AGCUUUUCGAAUCCGUGUUGAGAUUUGGUCAAACACCAACGCAUUAGGGUUGAUCAGACUUCCAAGAUAAGUGAAGUC